Molecule: long non-coding RNA, 254 nt
Filed under: Elaeis guineensis (African oil palm)
Lineage: Eukaryota; Viridiplantae; Streptophyta; Magnoliopsida; Arecales; Arecaceae
Description: long non-coding RNA (EGUI_LNC080789)
Source: RNAcentral
ACCCUGAUUAGAUCAUCCGAGUCGUGUUCAACUCAAACAGUCCUGUGACUCCUCACUAGGACUAUCCUAACCAAGAUUUUGCUAAAUUAAAAUAUGACUGGACACAGCUCCUGAACUAGAGUGGUCAAUUCUAUCUUGACACAUGCACCGACAAGUCAAGUACUUGACUACACCCAGCAUCCUUCCAUCACUGAAUUAGAAAUUUAGGUAGUCCAGUGCCUAAGUGCAGUGAGUUGCUUGCAAGUCACCGUGGC